ACUUUUUCCCCCACCGCCCCCUUCUCAUCCGCUUUAAAUCGGGCUCGGAACCUCAUGUGGUGACCACUGCCUUGUCGUCGUUGCUGCGGCCACCGUCGUCGCCAUCGCUCGGUAGUACGUCCAGGGGAACUGCCAUGGUUAUCUUCGUCCGUCCCGGGCGUCGGUUCAAGCAGGGACGCCGCGAGGCCGUCGCCAUCACCAUCAUCUCCGUUCGGCCGCCGCCAUCUCGCCGACGACCUGCGAUAUUUUGACCGUCCCCAGCCUCGACGAGCUCGCCUACGACCUCUCUGUGAGCCACUCUUCCGAACCCCCUGUCGCCGUUAUCAAUUCGUCGCCGUAGCCGUCGUCUGCGACCUCCAUGACUGCGCCUGUAACUCUGCUUCCGGGCAUGCCCACCCGCGUAUGGCCGCGCCCUGCUGCGGUGCUUGCUCGCCCGCUCCCGUUCCUUCUGCCUCUGCCGCACUAACCCACUGCCGCACGCCCCACGCCCGCUUGCUGCUGCCGCCUGCGCCCGCGCGCGCUCGGGCACCCAGACCGCGUCAUCGCCCGAGCUGCCGUGUUGCUUCGCUGCUGUGCUGCUCCUUGCGCUGUUGCUGCUCACUACUUGGCCACUGCUUGCUGCUGCCGCUACCUGCUGCUCUGUGUGCCUGCUACUGCCCUGCUCUGUUAUGUCGCUGCUGUUGCUUGCUACUGCUGCCCGUUGCGCUGCCUUGUAAACUGCCAUCGCUGCUGCUCUAUGGCCGUGGCCGUGUGUGUGCGUAGGUGUUGUGUGUGGCCGGUCUAUUUAGGCUAAUGCUUGAUUAGUUGUAGGGAUUAAUUAGUGGCUAGUUUAGCCUAUGUGCAAAUGACAUGUGGGUCCAUUUUAAUUAUGUUAGUUUUAUUUAAUUGUUUAGGUUCAGCCAAUGACAUAUGGGUCACCCCCUCCCCUUUUGACCAGUCAACUUGACUUGGUCAACCCGAAUUAAAACAAAAUCAAAAAAUUUCUUAAAGUCAUUAAAACUUUGGAAAAUCAUAGAAAAAAUGUAUGUAACUCGGAUGAAAAUGUUUUAUAUAAGAAAGUGAUCAGAAAAAUCCAACGAAUCUGAAUACGCGGUCCUUUCACCUCUCAUAUGCCCCUAGCAUGCUGAACAUGGAACCAUCCCCUCUCUUUCAUCUGUCGUAAUUCAUCUAACGCCGGGGAUUCAUCCUCGGAUGUUUAUCCCCUCCGUCUGCAACGUGUAGUACUAUGUUAGGACAACCCUAGCUUUACCUAUCAUCUUGUCAUGCCUUGUGAUGCAUUGUUUGCUCUGUAUUUAAUGUUUCUUCCCCCUCUUCUCUCCGGUAGACCCCGAGACCGAUGUCGCCCCUGUGAUCGACUACGUCGACGACGACCCCCUCCUUGCCAGAGCAACCAGGCAAGCAAACCCUCAUUGAGCAUUCCGAUAUCGCCCAUUUCUUUCCCUCUCAUGCUUGCAUUAGAACCGCUACUGCUUUCUGUAUGAUCCUACUCUGAUGCAUAGCCUAUUGUUGUUACCUGCUUUUAUACCUUACCUUCUUAUCCUAAACUUCUUAGUAUAGGUUGGUUAGUGAUCCAUCAGUGACCCCCACCUUGUCCGAGUUGCCCCGCUUUAUGUUCAAUGACUCGAUCAACGUGAUCGACGUCCAGGCCCCGACACCGCACAUCAUCCCCCUAGUUGUACGACUCUGCAGAGUUACCAUCGAGUGCCGAGGGUGGAACCUCUUACAUCACUCCUGAUGAGAUCUCAGUAGUGUAGCUAUACGACCGAGGUCAUCGAGGGUGAUUUCCUCCUUAACCUCUUUCGUUACGGCUCUGUCGUGCAACCCCUCAAGUGUGAACCUCGAGGGUGGAUCCUCUUACGUUCACCUUGAUGAUAACAUCGAGUGGAAUUCAUCGAGGGUGAUUCCUCGGGUUUUCAUCUUGGUGUUAGACACACAGUUACUAUGGUUACUAUGACUUUACACUGAACCAUGUUACUAAAGACGGGUCGACCCUGAGGGGUACCCGCGCGAGCUUAAUAGCGAGUGAUGUGGAGUCGAGCAUACCUGGAAGGUGCCCGCGAGAUACUUACGAGGCGUGGCCGGGUAUUCUUAGCCCUUGUCACAAGUACUCGAGAUGGGGAGACGGGGUCACAUCGAUCGUGAGUCUCUGCUCGUUACCGCGCGUUCCUAAUCCACUACGAUUUGGAUAUUUGAUCCGAGGGGCCUCUGGCCUGAUAGCACUAACCAUCACAUGGGCAUAGUAUGGGCGUUCUACAUCGUAUACAUCAGCCGAAACUUAAUAGACGUCAGCGACUGAGCGACGUGCGCCGGGUUGGACUGGUAAGCUCCUGCCUUUUAGGGAGGUAGCUAGGUCUGCUCACCGGCCACAUACGCAACAUGCAGGAGUUCCUGGGGAGAUGGCCCAUGACCCCUAGGGGCAUAGGUUUAGUCUGGCGUGCUGGCCUCUCUAUUAAGCCUAGGUCGGGUUGCGGCGUAUUGUUUGGCCGAGGCCGGGCAUGACCCAGGAAAGUGUGUUCGGCCGGAGUUAAUCGAGCGUGGUGGGUAAGUUGGUGCACCCCUGUAGGGAAGAAAACAUCUAUCGAUAGCCUGUCCUACGGUAACGGACACUUGGAGUUGUAUUUCAACUGAUACAACUAGAACUGGAUAAUUGUGAUGAGAACUGGAUGCUGAUGCGAAUUGGAUUGUGAUAAUAAUUGGAUAGUAUGGCUCUGGGAUUGCUUUCUCGCAGGGAGUCAAGAAAGGAUCUCUGGCCGAGGUUGAUAACUCUACUGCUACUUUACUUUAUGUUACUCUACUCCCUCCUGUUGCUGCAAGAUGGUGGUUUCCAGAAGAUGCUAGUCUUCGAUAGGCUAGGCUUUCCCCUUCCCUUCUGGCAUUCUGCAGUUUAGUCCACAGAUACAACCCAUUCCUUUGAUACAGAUACAUACUUAGUUUAGAUCUGAUGUAAGUCUUGCGAGUACUUUGGAUGAGUACUCACGGUUGCUUUGCUACUUCUUUUCCCCCAUACCCGAUUGUUGCGACCAAAUGACGGAGCCCAGGAGCCAGACGAUGCCACUGAUGACUACUACUACCCGGAGGAUGCCUACUACUACGUGAACACCGCCGACGACUAGGAGUUGUUAGGAGGCUCCCAGGCAGGAGGCCUUGCCUUUUUCGACCGUUGUUGCUUUUGUGCUAGCCUUCUUAAGGCAAACUUGUUUAACUCAUGUCUGUACUCAGAUAAUGUUGCUUCCGCUGACUCUUUUGUUUUCGAGCUUAUGUAUUCGAGCCCUCGAGGCCCCUGGCUUGUAAUAUAAAGCUUGUAUUAUUUUAAUUUUUGUCUAGAGUUGUGUUGUGUUA
This 3339-nucleotide long non-coding RNA is filed under the name Triticum aestivum (bread wheat). Its description in RNAcentral is "long non-coding RNA (TAES_LNC010342)". Lineage: Eukaryota; Viridiplantae; Streptophyta; Magnoliopsida; Poales; Poaceae. The record is from RNAcentral.